Molecule: small RNA, 567 nt
Filed under: Rattus norvegicus (Norway rat)
Lineage: Eukaryota; Metazoa; Chordata; Mammalia; Rodentia; Muridae
Description: uncharacterized LOC102550645
Source: RNAcentral
GAAGCGGCCAUCUCAGGAGACUCGCUUACCAUUUCCCUAUGCAUGUCCCUCUAAUCUUCCGUCGUAAAUGGAGGUAAAGAUGAUCGAAGUCCACUUUUCCAUGUCAUGAUGAAACCGAGUACUUUGUACAGAUGACAAAGACCAGUUUGAGGCCACUAGAGAGGAGCAUUUCCUCUGUGACACAUGGUUUCCACAGACCAUGAUUCUCUGCGUCCUAGGAAGGAGCGCUUUGGAUGAAGGUCACUUCAGAAGUAAAGGGAACGAAAGGAAGGAAAGAAAAGGGAAGCGAGCAGGAAGUGGAGAUCCACGCCAGUCACUCCAGCUACGCUUACAUCUUGAGGCUGGUGAUUCCAAGUUAAAGGCUAUGACCAAGGCCCUGAGUUCGAUUCUCUACCGCCACCAAAUAAAACAGAAGCCCGAUAAAAAAAAGAGACAAAAGACAUCUCCACCAAAAAUCUGUCAUCCAAGUACUCAGGGGCUUGAGGCAGAGGACAUAGUGAGUUCAAGGCCAGCCUGGGAUACACAGAAAAAUCCUGCUUCAAACAAUAAAAUUCUAAUCCUGACCAA